RNAcentral lists this ribosomal RNA (455 nucleotides) under uncultured bacterium. Its description in RNAcentral is "bacterial SSU rRNA". It matches the Rfam family "Bacterial small subunit ribosomal RNA", at positions 340 to 786 of the family's 1533-position model. The record is from RNAcentral.
UACGGAAGGCAGCAGUGGGGAAUAUUGCACAAUGGGCGCAAGCCUGAUGCAGCCAUGCCGCGUGUAUGAAGAAGGCCUUCGGGUUGUAAAGUACUUUUCAGUCGUGAGGAAGGUGUUAAGGUUAAUAACCUUAGCAAUUGACGUUAGCGACAGAAGAAGCACCGGCUAACUCCGUGCCAGCAGCCGCGGUAAUACGGAGGGUGCGAGCGUUAAUCGGAAUUACUGGGCGUAAAGGGCACGCAGGCGGUUAAUUAAGUUGGAUGUGAAAUCCCCGGGCUUAACCUGGGAAUGGCAUUCAAGACUGGUUAGCUAGAGUCUUGUAGAGGGGGUAGAAUUCCAUGUGUAGCGGUGAAAUGCGUAGAGAUGUGGAGGAAUACCGGUGGCGAAGGCGGCCCCUGGGACAAAGGCUGACGCUCAUGUGCGAAAGCGUGGGGAGCAAACAGGGAUUAGAUACC